UACGUAGGGUGCAAGCGUUGUCCGGAAUUAUUGGGCGUAAAGAGCUCGUAGGCGGUUUGUCGCGUCUGCUGUGAAAACCCGAGGCUCAACCUCGGGCCUGCAGUGGGUACGGGCAGACUAGAGUGCGGUAGGGGAGAUUGGAAUUCCUGGUGUAGCGGUGGAAUGCGCAGAUAUCAGGAGGAACACCCGUGGCGAAGGCGGCUCUCUGGGACGGUACUGACGCUGAGACGCGAAAGCGUGGGGAGCGAACAGG
This 253-nucleotide ribosomal RNA is filed under the name uncultured bacterium. RNAcentral's name for it is "partial 16S ribosomal RNA". It matches the Rfam family "Bacterial small subunit ribosomal RNA", at positions 524 to 776 of the family's 1533-position model. The record is from RNAcentral.